RNAcentral lists this long non-coding RNA (491 nucleotides) under Bos taurus (domestic cattle). RNAcentral's name for it is "long non-coding RNA NONBTAT019783". The record is from RNAcentral. Lineage: Eukaryota; Metazoa; Chordata; Mammalia; Artiodactyla; Bovidae.
GCUUAAACAAUAAAAUGAUAUCUAGACAUCUCAGAGCCAAAAAACAAUGCAGUGCACCCGUUCAUUCCAUUUUCAGAGUUAAAACCAUUACGUUAUAUUCUCCACCUGAAAUGAUGCCUCUAAUAAGUAUGAAAGAUAAAAAGUAGAGAGCAGUAUUAUCACAGAAUGUGAGACAGAGAGCAGAUAAAACUAUGGAGACCAAUCCAUAUUUUAGGAGUAAGCAUACUGGUUUUUUAAUAUCACUUCUGUCAUGGAUCACUUUUCUUUAGAUAGGUAAAUAGGAAGAAUAUGUAAUAUAUUCUAUUCUUAACUUCUGAGCAGAGACUUUCAUGAUAGAAAUAAUUUCAUAAUAUUCCCCAUGGAGUAAAGAGGAAAAGAAAAGAAAAAAAGGCCCCAAAUCUUCUCUCAUAAGGAGAGAAGAUUCUGAGAUUAAAACCUAUGUAUGUAGUAUUAUUUUCCCAAUAAUGGGGGUUUCAGGGAGUAAACUUCAU